This is a long non-coding RNA of Hibiscus syriacus, 325 nucleotides long. RefSeq lists it as uncharacterized. The record is from RefSeq and is a predicted model, not a curated record. Lineage: Eukaryota; Viridiplantae; Streptophyta; Magnoliopsida; Malvales; Malvaceae. The transcript has 3 exons.
AAGCCAACAAAAAUCCAAUGAGGAGACAGGUUCAGACUCCCUCAAGGCCUUCCAGACCCCUAAGCAGUAUAACACGUGUUGUCAGAAGAGGAUCAGAGACUCCCGGAGCCGAUGCGAAUGGAAGUUCUUUUGAUUUCACAACAAAGCUGCUGCACCUUGCAUGGAACCCGAUUGAAAACUUGAUUGCCUGUGCUGCUGCAAACAGCUUAUACUUGUACUAUGCAUAAAGCUGAUCCAAGAAGUGCACUUGCUUGGUAUAACUUUUUCCUUUUUAGGUUGUUGACGGUGGAAGUUCCUUUCCCGUUCCCUCCAAGCAGCGACAUAA